GUGGGGAAUCUUGCGCAAUGGGCGAAAGCCUGACGCAGCCAUGCCGCGUGGAUGAUGAAGGUCUUAGGAUUGUAAAAUCCUUUCACCGGUGAAGAUAAUGACUGUAGCCGGAGAAGAAGCCCCGGCUAACUUCGUGCCAGCAGCCGCGGUAAUACGAAGGGGGCUAGCGUUGCUCGGAUUUACUGGGCGUAAAGGGCGCGUAGGCGGACAUUUAAGUCAGGGGUGAAAUCCCGGGGCUCAACCUCGGAACUGCCUUUGAUACUGGGUGUCUUGAGUAUGAGAGAGGUGUGUGGAACGCCGAGUGUAGAGGUGAAAUUCGUAGAUAUUCGGAAGAACACCAGUGGCGAAGGCGACACACUGGCUCAUUACUGACGCUGAGGCGCGAAAGCGUGGGGAGCAAACAGGAUUAGAUACCCUUGUAGUCC
This 425-nucleotide ribosomal RNA is filed under the name uncultured bacterium. Its description in RNAcentral is "partial 16S ribosomal RNA". It matches the Rfam family "Bacterial small subunit ribosomal RNA", at positions 354 to 796 of the family's 1533-position model. The record is from RNAcentral.